GAUUUGUUACUAGAAAUUAAUUUUAGCAAAGGGCUGUUUAUGAAGUUAGGUGAGUUUAAGAAAAGGUCAGGAGACAUUCAGAGCACUGAAGACCUGGGGAAAUUCAGCAGCAGAUGAGGUCUGCUCUCAUGAUUUAAUCAGGUUAAAGGAAGUAUAAAUAGCUGGAAUCAUCUCCUGUAGUCCAGGCCUUUCAUGACCUAAGAGUAAACUGCUGGAUCAGCAGCUCAGCUGACAGAUGUUGAAUCACUGGAGCCAUCACCAGGGACACAACAGGAAUGUGCAGCCAGAGUCGCUGGGAUCACACCUUUUGACAACAACGUCAUCCUGGGUUUUGUUGGAAGAAGGCCACAUUCUUUUUCUGCACUAUCAGAGUCUAAAAUCUGAAAACAUGGGAUGAUGAACUCCAAUCAAAAAGCUGCUGUUUGCGCUAGUGUGGACAUUAGGCACAAGAGCACUGGGAUAUACUUCAUUUUGAUGGUUCUCAUUUGAGUACUCUGCUUAUAAAAUGCUUUAUGAUCACGAAAGGAAAGGUGUUUUACAAGUACAAAUUAUUAUUACUUCCUUUUUCUGGAAUCUAUGGCUGUGUUAGUUCUAAUUUUACAAUCCUCAUGAAAACAAGCUUCCCCUGUUAGUCAGUGAAAUAAUUGCUGACUUAAGGCAGGCAUGGCAGGGCUUGUGCAUUUGAAGCACCCGGUCUUUGCAUAGAUUGCUUCACUUGACAUGAAAUUCUGUGCAGGAGGGUGGAUGACUUUUUCAACAUCUAUUAAAAUUAUUUGAAAUAAAAUACAAUCUCUGGUGUUUAACAAGAUAAAAUCAUAGCCUAAUUAUUGAU
Gymnogyps californianus (California condor) is the source of this 832-nucleotide long non-coding RNA. RefSeq lists it as uncharacterized. The transcript is spliced from 3 exons. NCBI's taxonomy places the organism in Eukaryota, Metazoa, Chordata, Aves, Accipitriformes, Cathartidae. The record is from RefSeq and is a predicted model, not a curated record.